UGGUUUUAAACAGGGUGGAUGCCAGGGCAUAUCGAUGGAUUCCGAGAGCAAAGAAAAUGCAAGACCAGAUGUUUCAAUCAUUGAAUAUAAUGGUUUUAAAAUAGGAUGAUAAUGAGUAUUCCCUUUCAAAAAUUUGGAGUAGAGACAUACAGUAGAGACACAGUGUUGAAAAGGGAUUCACUCUCGGAUUACACUUGCUCUGACUCCCUGUGUAUAAAACCGACAUCUCCAGCUGCUUUCCAAUUCGAGAAGCCUCCUCUACUGUUACGCGAUAUCAGGCUUAUCCAUCACAAUCAACAUCACCGAAGACUGGGUUGGCUACCUAUGAUCUAUCUGAGCUGCAAAUUGAGGGUGAUGGAAAUUGCCAAUUUCGAGCAAUAGCUGAUCUCUUGUUUCGCAAUCCAGAUUACCAUAAGCAUGUUGGAAAGCAGGUAUGACUGAUCAAAGGCAUCUACUUCAUUCCUCAUGUUAGCUCUUUCCCUUGAUAGGCACUUCUUUACCUUGCUUUAGUUACUGCUAGGCAAAACUAAUACCAGAAUUUUUCAAAACAAAAUAAAUAGUCUUUGUGAGCUUAAGAGUUUUACACUAUGAUGGAAGACAAACAUUUAUCAGAUUUUCGAGUGUUUUUUCACUUAUCUCAAUAUUUACUUCACCGUUAACAGAUCACUUUUAACUUGCUUUCAGACACUGCAAUUUCUAAGUUGCUUUAAUUUCACAUUUACCACACAUGUGAUUUAACAUAUAUCCAUUAUU
This is an RNA transcript of Rosa chinensis, 753 nucleotides long. RefSeq lists it as uncharacterized. Lineage: Eukaryota; Viridiplantae; Streptophyta; Magnoliopsida; Rosales; Rosaceae. The record is from RefSeq and is a predicted model, not a curated record. The transcript has 4 exons.